This 239-nucleotide ribosomal RNA is filed under the name uncultured bacterium. RNAcentral describes it as "partial 16S ribosomal RNA". It matches the Rfam family "Bacterial small subunit ribosomal RNA", at positions 338 to 569 of the family's 1533-position model. The record is from RNAcentral.
CCUACGGGACGCAGCAGUAGGGAAUCUUCCACAAUGGACGAAAGUCUGAUGGAGCAACGCCGCGUGAGUGAAGAAGGGUUUCGGCUCGUAAAGCUCUGUUGGUAGUGGAGAAAGAUAGGGGUAGUAACUGGCCUUUAUUUGACGGGAAUUACUUAGAAAGUCACGGCUAACUACGUGCCCGCAGCCGCGGUAAUACGUAGGUGGCAAGCGUUGUCCGGAUUUAUUGGGGGUAAAAUGAG